Molecule: long non-coding RNA, 410 nt
Filed under: Vulpes vulpes (red fox)
Lineage: Eukaryota; Metazoa; Chordata; Mammalia; Carnivora; Canidae
Description: lncRNA (ENSVVUG00000002007.1)
Source: RNAcentral
CUCUUACUAAUCUAGUACAAUCCAUGCAUGCUUCCACAUAUUUUGGCAGGAGAAAGUAGGAGUCCACUGACAAUGGUUUGGGAUAUUACUAGCCAGUGUUUCUGAAUUUAUACAUUUUUUAUCUCUUUCUGAAAGACAAGAUUCAGUAAAGCAAUGGAGAGACUGCAAGCAGUUUGAAGGUGAAGACAUGGAGGUGACAAAAGCACACUAAAUGUACAAGAAUCUUGGCUGCAGAGAUCAGCUUAUAAGCUUUUCACAAACCCCUGUUGAAAUUUUGAAUGUAAUUGAAGCUUCAGAGUUCUCUAACAGGAAUUUUCCCACUUCAUUUUCCAGAAGAAACUCUAAAGGUAAGUAGGUUACUAUUCCAUCUUAAAGGUGAAAAACACAUAUAUUAGAAAUGUUUAGUAAGC